UUUACACUUACUUUCUUUCUUAUUAUAACGGGUUUAUAACGUAUUAUUGUAUUAUUUCCAUUAAAACAAGUCACAGUGUAUAAAUAUUUUGCAGUAAACUAUUUCGAGACAUAAAUCGGUCUGAUUGAUCUAAGGUGAAACAAUGUUUUAUUCAACAAAGCAUACGUCGUCAUACAGUCGUUUUCAUGAAAUCCAAAUUUUAAUUUUUUGACCUGUGGUCUUAGUGGCUUGAUAUAACGUGGACUUAUGUGUGCAUUGCUGUCUCCUGGUGAGAAGUUACAACAGUUGGUGUAAGUCAACCUACUCGUUAACAGAAAUCUGGAAUUCUCACUAAGCCUUAAAAUCUGAGUCUCCGAAGAAAGAACCUAAAGGUCCAGCUUGACACUGCUCUGAAUGACGGGUAAACGGACAGAUAAACGGCAAGACGGACUAUUUGAUAUCUUGACCUAAAUGUCAAUAACCAGUAAGGUCCUUCCUUGGAUCACGAAUAAUCUACGUUCAAGGAAUCUACAAACACCUACAAGGAAUAACAGGCGAGCAUGCAGACAAAUAGACGGACGUAUGACCUAUUACCCUGUGAUCUCAUAAUCAAUAGAUUUCUUAAAUAUAUAACUAAAAAUGCCUUUAUUUAAGAGCGCUUGUCGUUUAAAAAUGUUUUUCUGAA
Homalodisca vitripennis (glassy-winged sharpshooter) is the source of this 664-nucleotide long non-coding RNA. RefSeq lists it as uncharacterized. The transcript has 2 exons. The record is from RefSeq and is a predicted model, not a curated record. NCBI's taxonomy places the organism in Eukaryota, Metazoa, Arthropoda, Insecta, Hemiptera, Cicadellidae.